CGACGGGCCCCGCACAAGCAGCGGAGCGUGUGGUUUAAUUCGAUGCUACACGAAGAACCUUACCAGGGUUUGACAUACAAGUAGUAGGGAAAGGAAACUGGACCGACCCUUCGGGGAGCUUGAACAGGUGCUGCAUGGCUGUCGUCAGCUCGUGUCGUGAGAUGUUCGGUUAAGUCCGCUAACGAGCGCAACCCUCGCUGUGUGUUACAAGUGUCACACGGAACUGCCGGUCAUAAACCGGAGGAAGGUGGGGAUGACGUCAAGUCAGCAUGGCCUUUAUAUCCUGGGCUACACACACGCUACAAUGGGAAGGGACAAUAGGUUGCGAAACCGCGAGGUGGAGCCAAUCCAGCAAAACUUCCCUCAGUUCAGAUUGCAGGCUGCAACUCGCCUGCAUGAAGUUGGAGUUGCUAGUAAACGCAGGUCAGCCAUACUGCGUUGAAUACGUUCCCGGGGCUU
This 459-nucleotide ribosomal RNA is filed under the name uncultured Anaerolineaceae bacterium. RNAcentral's name for it is "bacterial SSU rRNA". It matches the Rfam family "Bacterial small subunit ribosomal RNA", at positions 916 to 1381 of the family's 1533-position model. The record is from RNAcentral. Lineage: Bacteria; Bacillati; Chloroflexota; Anaerolineae; Anaerolineales; Anaerolineaceae.